This 645-nucleotide long non-coding RNA is filed under the name Olea europaea subsp. europaea. The record is from RNAcentral. Lineage: Eukaryota; Viridiplantae; Streptophyta; Magnoliopsida; Lamiales; Oleaceae.
GUUCCAUUCUUCUUGAGUUCGGGGACUUCGACUAAAAAUGCUCACCUACUCUAUUUCCAUUGUUGGACAAAUUGUUGUCAAACAAGCUAUCGGACGACGAUGUAACUCAGUAUAUUUUCUCAAUCGACAUCAACCAAAUGACCGAAUGAAAAAUCGACACCUCAAUGAAGACAACCCUACCUCAAAAUCAAGUAGACCAUUGAAAGCAACCUAAUUUAUUUAGUCCUGCUCAGGGUCCAUUUCUUUUCUUCUUGGAUGGCUUAUAAUCAUCGACCCAUAUAGUGAUACCUAGCCUAGUUGCUUACUUAUAUUGGACUUGGCUCACUACUAUCGCCUAACGUUUGUUAUACAUAUGCUGCCCUCUUUACUUAGUUUUGACUGUGUGUUGGCUGAGCUUCUUCUCCCUUCGGAAACCGGCUACCUUCUUUAUGAUCUUGCACCUCCCAUUUUAUCUCCUCUUCUACCUUUGUGGUUGCCUUUGUGGCUGUGUUUGCAUCCCUUUAUGUGUGUCCUUUGUGGGCAAACCAUAGCAACCGAAUAGAGGAAUUGGUUUGAGGAUUUUUAGGUCGAUUGCUUUGUUGAGGUUGUCGAAUGAAGGUUAAAAAUUGGGCCCGGAGCCAAAUCUUCCGCUACAUCUAUCCAUAU